GGAAUGAAUGGAAUGUAAGUACGCGAGGGGGCGGAUGUAGCCAAGUGGAUCAAGGCAGUGGAUUGUGAAUCCACCAUGCGCG
Molecule: transfer RNA, 82 nt
Filed under: Lycium sp.
Lineage: Eukaryota; Viridiplantae; Streptophyta; Magnoliopsida; Solanales; Solanaceae
Description: partial tRNA-His
Rfam family: tRNA (bases 31-82)
About the family: Transfer RNA (tRNA) molecules are approximately 80 nucleotides in length. Their secondary structure includes four short double-helical elements and three loops (D, anti-codon, and T loops).
Source: RNAcentral